GAAAUUCAUUCUGUUGUUUGCUUUCCUUAUUGUAAAUGGUUUCUUCUCAUUCAUAGUUUACAGAAGAUGUUGUGUUAAUGAAACGGCUAAUAAGCCAAAGGCUGUGGUUCAGCUACACACAGAGCCUUGUUCAAAGCAGCCCAAGCCACACUAGACUUGAGAACAUUUUCUCUCUCAGCCCUAGAAAUGUAUUCUAAAAUUUAUUUUUACAGCAUUUGUAACCUAAAAUUAAGAUGAUUCAAAAGAACAUUUUUUCCUGAGAAAUCACACUUCAUCUGGUCUAUAUAGGGUUCAGCAGAGAUCUUCAAAAUCUGUUUCUUUCGAAAAAUAGAAAAAAGAUGGGCAAACAAUAAGCAGUCCUUAUGUAUAAGAUGCUAUUUGUGAGGCACUUUAAUUUUACUGAAAGAAGUCAUUAAAUUUGGAUUGCCAAUACAAAUAUGAUUAUAUAUGUUUUCUAAAUAAAAUGUUAUUAUGUUGCAACUGAACUCAUCCAUUUAUUGUUUGUUUACCUAGUGCUCAAACACAUGUUUUAUUCAUAGAUGUCUGGGAGGAAAAAAUUUUGCUUGAUAAUCACACCAAGCAUAUUUAACAAAAGCGAUUCUCCUUUUAUUAGUGAACAAGUUUAAGCAGAAUGAUUUCAUUUUUUUUUUCCAUUUGGUUAAUUCAGACUUGCAGAAUCCUCAGUAUACAGCUUUUGUUUCUCCGCCUGCUGGCUUUUAUGCCUUUAAUGUAUGCAUGCCUAUCCACUGAUGGGAAAAUAUCAUUUCCUCCAAGUCUUCCUUUUUCCUUCUUGACUAUAUUCUCAGUUGAUUUCUGGUUUUGGUUAGAUUUCACUAGCUACUUCUGUCAAAUCAUAUACAAGACAAUCAAACUGAAUCCCAGUAAAAAGUUCACUAUCCUGUUGGAGAUUUUAAACUCUCUUUCACUGAAGCAAAUGAGAAUUCUAAAUAUAUUUACUUAUCCCUUUAAAAAUAAAUAUCUGUAUUCUAAAAUAAAUUUAAAAUGUUAG
RNAcentral lists this long non-coding RNA (1009 nucleotides) under Capra hircus (goat). Its description in RNAcentral is "lncRNA (ENSCHIG00010010688.1)". The record is from RNAcentral. Lineage: Eukaryota; Metazoa; Chordata; Mammalia; Artiodactyla; Bovidae.